This is a long non-coding RNA of Lycium barbarum (goji berry), 1106 nucleotides long. RefSeq lists it as uncharacterized. The transcript is spliced from 3 exons. NCBI's taxonomy places the organism in Eukaryota, Viridiplantae, Streptophyta, Magnoliopsida, Solanales, Solanaceae. The record is from RefSeq and is a predicted model, not a curated record.
AGAAAAGAGAAAAACCUAGAGAUAGAGAAGGGGGGGCUCACGGCCAUGGUGAAAAAAAUCCAUGUUCACCAAGCUUGGUCCAAUUAAUUUUUCCAUGGUGUUGUAAAUCAAAUGGAGGUCUUUGGGAACAUGAAUUGGUCCUUGAGAGCAGCAAGAAUGGUCUUUAAUUGAAGCCAUUAAAUUCAGCAAAUUAAGGAGCAACUUGCUAAGACCUUGGGCAGCCCGAAUCAUAGGUUGGAUUUAGCUUGAGUUUGGAUCGUAUUGGAGAGCGUUUGAGGUACAGACGCACACCCUGGUGAUCCACCUGUUUAGGACACCCUUUCUGCUAUUCGGAGUGCUCCUCUCUUUCCGGAGCUUAUACUUUUGGUAUAUAUAUUUAUUAGUGCAUUUGUAUAUAUUCGUUCAUGGGUACGGCGGGGCCCUGUCCCGUCAUAUGAUUCUGUCGGUCUGUUUAGAGGUCUGUGGACAUGUUUGUGGGUUAGGGUCUUUCUGUAUAGAUGUAUGUACAUGUCGUUUGGGCGAUCCCAUACGCCGAGGCGGCCGGUCCGCGUAUGUUGUUUGGGCGAUCCUAUACGCCGAGGCGGCCGGUCCGCAUAUGUUUAUAUAUUGCUUGGUUAGCCCUGUGUGGCUUUUGUUGGUAUUUUCUGCGUGCAGGGUAUAUUGGAUAGUCCGUAAAACAAAGGAAACUCUGUCGAAAUUUUCUGGAAAUUACCUAAAUUUGAAAUAAAGUCUUGUCGGCUUCCGCCAUAUACUAGAAUGAGUUGAUAGAAUUUGAGAUAAUAUUUGAUAGAUGGGUUCGGGUGCCCAGAUCGGGCACUAGUCACGGCCUACGGGGUUGGGUCGUGACACCAUGCCUCGAGACAUAAAUUUUUCAAGACUUUGUUCAAAACUCUGUCUAUAUUCAGGCAGAGUUCAAAGUAUUUUUCAAGAGUUUAUGUUUUUAUUUUUUCAAUAGAUGUAUAGUAUUUGUAGGUAGGUGAUAAUGCAAAGAUUUUUCAAACUGGAAAAAAAAAAAAAAGGGAAAUUGAUUAUAUUUGUCCAAUCACACUCCAAUCUGUGCAACAAUUACUGCAAUUCAAAGUGUAACUGUUUUUGCUAAAGGAGAA